GACGAACGCUGGCGGCACGCCCAACACAUGCAAGUCGAGCGAGUAGAUCCCUUCGGGGUGAAGCUAGCGGCGGACGGGUGAGUAGCACGUGGGCAACCUGCCUCAUAGAGGGGAAUAGCCUUCCGAAAGGAAGAUUAAUACCGCAUAAGAUUGUAGUACCGCAUGGUAUAGCAAUUAAAGGAGCAAUCCGCUAUGAGAUGGGCCCGCGGCGCAUUAGCUAGUUGGUGAGGUAACGGCUCACCAAGGCGACGAUGCGUAGCCGACCUGAGAGGGUGAUCGGCCACAUUGGGACUGAGACACGGCCCAGACUCCUACGGGAGGCAGCAGUGGGGAAUAUUGCACAAUGGGGGAAUCCCUGAUGCAGCAAUGCCGUGUGAGUGAUAACGGCCUUCGGGUUGUAAAGCUCUGUCUUCGGGGACGAUAAUGACGGUACCCGAGGAGGAAGCCACGGCUAACUACGUGCCAUCAGCCGCCGUAA
RNAcentral lists this ribosomal RNA (478 nucleotides) under uncultured bacterium. RNAcentral describes it as "partial 16S ribosomal RNA". It matches the Rfam family "Bacterial small subunit ribosomal RNA", at positions 28 to 523 of the family's 1533-position model. The record is from RNAcentral.